CCUUCAGCCCCGAGCGCGCGCGUCCCCCGGGCGCCCAUUCAUUCGCGCGCAGGGCCGGCCCUGCGCUCCAGCCGCCGCCGGCUGACCCACCCGGCUACUGCGCACUGGGAGAGGAGCGCGCCGGGUGGGAAGCGGCGCGGGCUCUUCCUCCCGCGCCCGGGAACCCGGCGAGACAGACGCCCGCGGCGGAAUGGCGACUGGCCAGAGCCAGCCUCGGCUCCCACCGCUAGAUGACCGAACGCCCGGCAGCUGCCCCCGCGCGGCCCUCGUCGGUCCUGCCUACCCACACCCACCCCCGGACUGAGUGGCCCUGAGUCACCGACUGGAGACGCGCGACCCCCGACCUGGGCCAGCGCCGCGGAGCUGCAGUUCCGGGCUGCGCUUUGGCGCGGGAUUCAAGGAAUGGAUUCCAGCAGCAUCAUAGAAUCAAAGCAACACCUAAGGAAUUCACUGUUUCUUCACGUACUUUGACCUUUGAAAACAAGAGUCAUCAUAAUAGCUACAGUUUACUCAGUACCUACCAGAUGCCAGUCACUGUGCCACCACUUCACCUAAACUGUCUCUAAAGCCCAUACAACCCUGAGCUAAGGAUGAUCAUAUCCCCAACUGCAGACGAUGACACUGAAGCCCAAAGGCUACUCAACUUGCCUGGAAUUCUACAGCAAGUAAGUGGUGAAGCUCAGUUUAAGUCCCGUGCCAUUUUCAACGCUUGUGUCUGGGUAUGAGUGCAGGGCUUCUGACGCCACUGGGAAAUCUGCAGUGUGGUCUGAAUUUCUGUAUGCAGGAGCCUCACUUCCCCUGCCCACAGUUCUCCGUUUUCUCAUCCAUAAAAGGAGGGAUACGAGAUGUCCUGGGGGAAGCGGGGGUCCCACCAACUGUGCCACUUAGAACUUGCAUUUCCUCCCUUUCAGGAUUUCUCUUAGGCACAGGAUUUCUCUUAGGCACAUUGUUUUAAAGCUGUCAAAGCCAGCACUCAGGGUAAGCUGGGCAAAGUUCCACAAGCCCCUGGGGCUCCCAGAUGCCCCAGGGAGCUCUCCGCCUCCGCCUCCGCCUCCGCCUCCAUGCCUUUGGUGUGGGGGUUGUAGAGGAGUGGAUAACCGAGGCGGAAAGGGUACAGCUCAGUGUAAGGCCCUGGCUCUGGGGCUGGACAACCUGAACUUGAAUGCUGAUCCUGUCACAAAUUAAGAGAGUGGCUUAGGCAAAUUCUUAACCUCAGUUUCCUCAACUGCAAAAUGGGGCACUGACAGCUCUCACCUCACAACUUUGUUGGGAAAGAUAGGAUGAAAUAAAGUCAUAUAAAAUCCACUGCCUAGUAAGCACCCCAGUCCCCUGGGGCUCUUUCCCGCAGGCUGUUGCUGGCUGCUGGAGGUGAAAGGGGCCUCCUGAAAGGGAUUGCUCACUAUUGCUGCCAAGAACAGAUCUGACGUGAGCCUCUUUGGCCAUGGCUAAUGUCCAACAUUCAUAGACUGUCCUGCCCGUGGGUGGUGGCUGCCUCUUCCAGAGCCUCUGCUGAGCAGGCUGGAGGCAAGGCAGGGGAAAGGCACAGAGCAGGGCCCCAGCCUCCCAUUCAUUACCUUUGAGAUGCUGGGCCAGCUCAGAAGCUCUUGCUCUGUCUGCAGCAGUAGGGCCCAGAAGGUAGGGAAGGGACCUGACUGGAUACCCUCACGGGCCCAUAUCUGCUCUAAGCAGGAAAGAAGGCAGGGAUGGUGGACAGAAUGUAUGUUACCAUGCAACAGGCAAUGUGCUGACACAGGAUCUCAGAAUACUCACAACGACCCUGUGAAGAAGGCGCAAUCAUCCCCUUUCCACAGGGGAGGAUACUGAUGCCCACGGAGGUGCCAGCAUAAAGUGGAGCAUGCGCUGCCCACUGCCAGCUGAGCGCACUCAAUGCACCAAUCGUCUCUAAGGAAAAGAUAUUUAUAAGGUGAGUUUCUACAAACCAUUAUAUAUGGAGGAAAGGACUGAGCUCUUUGAAAGGAACUUGGCAGCUUUCUUAUUGUCAAUCUUCCUCCUCCUAUUUAUCUGAUAACCGUGGUUUAUUAGUUAUUAGUUUCUGCCACUGGAGUAUGUGUUCCAAGAGGACUGGGGUUUUUGUAUAUUUUGUUUACCACUGUUUUCCCGGUGCUUAUAGUAGUGGCAAAUAGUACAUGCUUGUUAGUGUGCAG
RNAcentral lists this long non-coding RNA (2165 nucleotides) under Macaca fascicularis (crab-eating macaque). Its description in RNAcentral is "lncRNA (ENSMFAG00000060996.1)". The record is from RNAcentral. Lineage: Eukaryota; Metazoa; Chordata; Mammalia; Primates; Cercopithecidae.